AGUGGACGCUGGCGGUAGGCCUAACACAUGCAAGUCGAACGGCAGCACAGUAAGAGCUUGCUCUUACGGGUGGCGAGUGGCGGACGGGUGAGGAAUACAUCGGAAUCUACUUUUUCGUGGGGGAUAACGUAGGGAAACUUACGCUAAUACCGCAUACGACCUACGGGUGAAAGCAGGGGAUCUUCGGACCUUGCGCGAUUGAAUGAGCCGAUGUCGGAUUAGCUAGUUGGCGGGGUAAAGGCCCACCAAGGCGACGAUCCGUAGCUGGUCUGAGAGGAUGAUCAGCCACACUGGAACUGAGACACGGUCCAGAAUCCUACGGGAGGCAGCAGUGGGGAAUAUUGGACAAUGGGCGCAAGCCUGAUCCAGCCAUACCGCGUGGGUGAAGAAGGCCUUCGGGUUGUAAAGCCCUUUUGUUGGGAAAGAAAAGCAGCAGGUUAAUACCCCGCUGUUCUGACGGUACCCAAAGAAUAAGCACCGGCUAACUUCGU
Molecule: ribosomal RNA, 491 nt
Filed under: uncultured bacterium
Lineage: Bacteria
Description: partial 16S ribosomal RNA
Rfam family: Bacterial small subunit ribosomal RNA
Source: RNAcentral